RNAcentral lists this ribosomal RNA (445 nucleotides) under uncultured bacterium. Its description in RNAcentral is "partial 16S ribosomal RNA". It matches the Rfam family "Bacterial small subunit ribosomal RNA", at positions 354 to 796 of the family's 1533-position model. The record is from RNAcentral.
GUAGGGAAUAUUGGGCAAUGGAUGCAAGUCUGACCCAGCCAUGCCGCGUGGAGGAAGAAGGUCCUCUGGAUUGUAAACUCCUUUUUUGGGGGAAGAAUAGUUCUCUUGCGAGGGAAUGUGACGGUACCCUAAGAAUAAGCCACGGCUAACUACGUGCCAGCAGCCGCGGUAAUACGUAGGUGGCAAGCGUUGUCCGGAUUUAUUGGGUUUAAAGGGUGCGUAGGUGGUUUGAUAAGUCAGUGGUGAAAGCUGGUUGCUCAACAAUCAAGUUGCCAUUGGUACUGUCGGAAUUGAGAGAAGUGGAGGUUCAUGGAAUGGAUGGUGUAGCGGUGAAAUGCAUAGAUAUCAUCCAGAACGUCGAUUGCGAAGGCAGUGGGCUGUACUUUAUCUGACACUGAGGCACGAAAGUGUGGGGAUCAAACAGGAUUAGAAACCCCGGUAGUCC